RNAcentral lists this ribosomal RNA (393 nucleotides) under uncultured bacterium. RNAcentral's name for it is "bacterial SSU rRNA". It matches the Rfam family "Bacterial small subunit ribosomal RNA", at positions 32 to 409 of the family's 1533-position model. The record is from RNAcentral.
AAUCAACGCUGGCGGCGUGCCUAACACAUGCAAGUCGAACGCGAAAAGGGGCAACCCUGAGUAGAGUGGCGUCCGGGUGAGUAACACGUGGAUAAUCUACCUGCGGGUGGGGAAUAACUUUCCGAAAGGGAGCUAAUACCGCAUAAGACCAAAUGGGGCGAUCCCUGAAUGGUCAAAGAGGGGAGUCGCAAGACCUCUCGCCUGUAGAGGAGUCCGCGGCCGAUUAGCUAGUUGGUGAGGUAAAGGCUCACCAAGGCUGCGAUCGGUAGCCGGCCUGAGAGGGCGACCGGCCACACUGGCACUGAAACACGGGCCAGACUCCUACGGGAGGCAGCAGUGGGGUAAUUUUGCGCAAUGGGCGAAAGCCUGACGCAGCAACGCCGCGUGAAGGAU